CCAGAUUCAUUUUCAACGUGAAGCCUGCAGGACUUUAGCCCGGAUACAUUUCCAGCACGAAGCCUGUGGGACUUUAGCCUGGAUACAUUUCUAGUGUCUUGCAUAUUUAUUCACAUGUAAACACAUUUCACAUAACAUAUCACAUUAGCAAUUCAAUUGCUUCAUUCGAAUAUAAGCACAAAAUGUACACCUACCCUUUAACUUUCGGUUCAAUAAUCAUACACAAGGAACACAUAAUCUUUUCACUAUCCCAGUUUCACUUUUAAUAACCAUUCGGCUAUAGGCCAUAUUCACAAAUUAUUUCACACACAACCUCGAUCAAGCAGGAACAAUAGUCACAAUUCAUCUAUUAUACAAAUAUCCCAUUCUUUGACUUUGUUUCAUAAUAGCUAUUCGGUCACCACAUAUAUACCAUUCAAUUCACAUUCGAAUUUAUACAAACAAGUACAAUAAAAGUGUAUACAUAUUACACACUUGCACAUCAUCACUUAAUAGUCAUUCGGCCACAUUAUAUACAUAAAUCAUCCAUUUCAUAUUCGGCUUUAUAGCCUAAAUACAAUAUACUUAUUGCAAAUCGAACUUGUAAAGGUCAAAUAAUUACUUAUCAUUUUAUAUAAUCUUAAGCGCGUAACAAAUCAAAUUUAAUUACUUAAGGACUUACCUCGGACAACGAUAAUCGGAACGAGACGACUAAUCGACCACUUUAAUUUCCCCCCCGAUCCAAAUCCGAAUUCCACUUUUGCCAAUCUAAUUAAUAUCAAAAUUAACUCACUUAUUCAACAUUUCAUUAAAUUUUAUCUAAAGGCACAUAAUUUGGGCAUUGCAUUUUAUCCCCUAACAUUUUACAUUUUUACAAUUUAAUCCCUAUUUCAAAAUAACACAAAUUACUCAAAAUUUCAUCAAACCCCUGUUAGGCCGAAUUUACCUUAGGUCUCUAGUAACCCAUAUCUUUUAUUUAUUUCACGUUUUGACCCAUUAAUUUACAAAUUUCUAAAUUUAGUCCUUAAUACACAUUUUUAUCAAAAAAAUCACUUAAUUAAACAUGAAAAUCAAACAUCAAAGAUUUAUUAAUCAUCAUCAAACAACAAUUUCAUCACAUAAUAAACAAUGGAAAAUCUCAAAUUCUUCAUUAAAUCCAAAAAUUAAGGCAUGAGUUUACUAGUACUCGAAGCAACGAUCUCAAAAACGUAAAAAUUAUAAAAAACCGAGUAAAACACAUACCCGAAAUAAGCUUUCAUAGUGCCAAAUAUUCAAAGCUUCCAAACUCAUCUUUUUCUUUUCACAUUCGGCUAUGG
RNAcentral lists this long non-coding RNA (1295 nucleotides) under Gossypium barbadense (sea-island cotton). Its description in RNAcentral is "long non-coding RNA (GBAR_LNC003944)". The record is from RNAcentral. Lineage: Eukaryota; Viridiplantae; Streptophyta; Magnoliopsida; Malvales; Malvaceae.